Molecule: long non-coding RNA, 588 nt
Filed under: Gallus gallus (chicken)
Lineage: Eukaryota; Metazoa; Chordata; Aves; Galliformes; Phasianidae
Source: RNAcentral
CUCGCUCUUCACCGUCGCCGCAGAAGCCUCUCCAUCAGUUACGGCUUCCUUCUGCCCAUCCACGCCCAUCGGCACCGCCUGGAGCAGCUGGGCAGGAUUCCAGGAAUGGCACAGCAUUGCCCGCUGCUUUGGGCUGAGCCUCUCCUGCCUUCGUGGGCUCUGUGACACCGCCGUCCCCUCCCACAGGGCUCCCGGGCUCGGGCAGCCCGCCCUCCUCAGCUCCCAUCCCACUUUCUGGUGAGCUCUGAAGGUCUCUGGAGUCAUUUUCUUCCGAGUGGGCUGCAGUGUCUGAGGUCAUCUUGGGUUUACCCUCUUUGGUCCCCACGGGCUUCUUGGUUUUCUCCUUUUUGCCUGCCAUCGUUCUCGCUGUCUUGGUGGCGGCGGUGCUGGCGGUUGGGUGUUUUCUGGCGCUCGGGGCCGCUCUUUUGAUGAUCCGAGUCCUCUUUUUGACACUCGUUUUGGCCUGGCUGGGAGAUGCUUUGGGCUUCUCUGCGACGCUGAUCUUCACCUGUUUCCCAUUCACCAGCACUGGCACAGUUUCACCAUACUUGACGGCUGCUAUCACCGCCUCCUUGUAGUUCAUUUCCA